Molecule: long non-coding RNA, 2061 nt
Filed under: Hordeum vulgare
Lineage: Eukaryota; Viridiplantae; Streptophyta; Magnoliopsida; Poales; Poaceae
Description: long non-coding RNA (HVUL_LNC012639)
Source: RNAcentral
AUUUGGGGCCGAAUGUUGUAUCUAUACCAAUAUCAAUAGACUCAAAGGGGCAGAUCCAACUAAUCUUUGCCAUCGAACCAGGUCAAUCUAACGACCUAGACUGCUUCAAUGGCGAGAUGUCAUGUGGGGUCAGCCCUAUAGGCGCAAGGCAGGCCCCACGCGGUCUGCGCCUGCAUCGGCCUAAACUAUGGCCUAGUUUAAUUAUAGAAGUUGUGUUAGAUUAUGAGUCUGGGUUAGUUGGAAAGGUUUAGUCCCGUAGAAGGUUACCCUGCCAACUCCCAAUUAGAGUAGGAGUCUAGUCUUGUAAUGAGGCUUUAUAUAGCCAGCCUUUGGAUCAAUAAAAUUAAGCAGAAACAAUCUAAUCUCUCACCCCUAUGCUCCUGCGCCUCGACGCCUCUCCUCACCCCCUUCUCCAACGAUAGGCCGGCGAGGGAUUCGCCCUCGGCCUCGCGUCUCUCACAACUACUACCUCCGCUCCAACCCACCAGCCCAUGACAACUUGGUAUCAGAAUGGAGGGGGAGAUGUCAUGUGGGGUUAGCCCUAUAGGCGCAAGGCAGGCCCCACGCAGUCUGGGCCUGCACGGCCUAAACUAUGGCCUAGUUUAAUUAUAGAAGUUGUGUUAGAUUAGGAGUCUGGGUUAGUUGGAAAGGUUUAGUCCCGUAGAAGGUUACCCUGCCAACUCCCAAUUAGAGUAGGAGUCUAGUCUUGUAAUCAGGCUUUAUAUAGCCAGCCUUUGGAUCAAUAAAAUUAAGCAGAAACAAUCUAAUCUCUCACCCCUAUGCUCCUGCGCCUCGACGCCUCUCCUCACCCCCUUCUCCAACGAUAGGCCGGCGAGGGAUUCGCCCUCGGCCUCGCGUCUCUCACAACUACUACCUCCGCUCCAACCCACCAGCCCAUGACAACUUGGUAUCAGAAUGGAGGGGGAGAUGUCAUGUGGGGUUAGCCCUAUAGGCGCAAGGCAGGCCCCACGCAGUCUGGGCCUGCACGGCCUAAACUAUGGCCUAGUUUAAUUAUAGAAGUUGUGUUAGAUUAGGAGUCUGGGUUAGUUGGAAAGGUUUAGUCCCGUAGAAGGUUACCCUGCCAACUCCCAAUUGGAGUAGGAGUCUAGUCUUGUAAUCAGGCUUUAUAGCAUUUGGAUCAAUAAAAUUAAGCAGAAACAAUCUAAUCUCUCACCCCUAUGCUCCUCCACCUUGGUGUCUCCCGUCUCUCACGAUUGCAACCUCCGCUCCAACCCACCAGCCCGUGACACGAGCGCUCAACAUGUUUAGCAUAUAAUUACAUACAAAUAUAACACUAAUCACAUAAUUAACACGCAAAAAUAUCCUACCUAAUAAUCACAUAAUUAACAUGCAAAAAUAUCCUAGCUAAUAUCUGUGUGCAACUAAUAUACUGCCUAAUAUUUACGUAAGCAUUUACUAGUACUAUAAUUGCGUACUAGUACUAUAAUAUAAUCCACUUUAUCUCUGAUUUCUCCUAGAUUGGUGUACACAAUGAAGAUAUUCUUGAUUGCAUUCUUAGUUUUGUCUGAAUAUUUUUUCCUUCAUAAAUAACACAAGCUUAGGUUAUUCAAUGUUAAUGUAUGUAUAGUAUAUACAUGAAUAUUUGCCUAUUUUAGUUAUUGCUAAAUAUUUGCUUCUAUAUGGUUAAAAUUCAAUCCAAAGUUAUAAUGGCGUUUUGCAACGAAAAUACAUCGGGAACCUGGGUGCGCGCGCACCCAAACUGAAAAACUUUUUGACAACAAACAUGGCCUAGCAUAAUACUCAUGUUUAAAGUUUCGGGCCAGAAUGAUUUAUGGUGUAUUUCGAGCAAAAUACAACAUAAUCAUGAUUUUUGUAGCUGCACUUUUGUUUUCUCAUUCAGAAUACAACAUAACUCGUUUUUGACCGAUACCUUAAAUGGAUUAUUAUGCUAGAUUGUUUCUCGCAGAAAAGUUUCUCAUUUUCUGAUUUUUUAACUUCUUUUGCUUAACCGGGCGCGCCUAGACCCAUUCCAAAAAUCUACAAUGCAUUUUGCAACAAGAAUUUAGAAGUCACUAGUUAUUGCUUAAUUAUGUUGUUCAG